UUGAGCCGGAUGCGGGGAAACUCGCACGUCCGGUUCUUAGGGGGGAGCGGCCCGGCAACGGGCUGCUCCUACCCGAGU
RNAcentral lists this non-coding RNA (78 nucleotides) under Sphingobium scionense. Lineage: Bacteria; Pseudomonadati; Pseudomonadota; Alphaproteobacteria; Sphingomonadales; Sphingobiaceae. The record is from RNAcentral.